UGUUUCCCAUAUUAUCUCAUUUUGGGUCUCUAUAGAUUGAAAUAGAUUUAGGUUACAGAUUUAGGUUCGCGAAAUAACAAAUGUGUUUGUUCUUGCACUGAAUACAGAUAUCGAAACUGCUCGGUAAAUCUGAUAACACAAUGUUUAAAGGACCUGAGCAUUAUUAAUAACUCCAAAUGCGGCUGAGGCCACUACAUAUCGCUGGGCGACGUUGAGAGGUGGAGAAUAGCCAUCGGCGUAAGAUGUAUCCUCAAACAGAACGGAGUAGUCAUCCUGGGGCUGGAAAAGAAGUGAGAUGUGUCAAAUUGUAUGGAAAUUAUUCUUCUACUCAUUUAUAAUUGGUCUUGUGAUGCCAUAAAACCCAUAAUAAAGAAAUAUUCUAACAGACUAACAACAUGAAUCCCAUGAGGGUUUAGAGAAGCAUCUUUACAAAUAGUGAUAGCAUCUUCAACAUAAGCAUCUCUUAUCCUACAUUUCAAUCAGUCGUUUAACUCUUUUCAUUCUUGUUUCCGCUCACCCGAUGUGGCGGCGUGUGGAUCAGAGCUCUGUAAAAGCAAGUGGUCUGUGGAUAGAGGGCUAGCACCAGCUGAUCUUUACUGAACAGAGCCUCCGGGUCAGUCUCUGGGUUUGCUUUCCACUGUGGGAGAGGAAUGAUUCUUCUCCGACUCAACGUGUGUCUCCUGAAUAAAAGAGAAUAUGAAACAGUGAAAAAAUGAGGAACAACAAACAGGUCGCAGUUUGUUUUAAAGCACUCCUGGAAUUAUACUUCUGUUCAAAAGAUUGGGGAUGGUUGAAUUUUUUUAUGUUUUUGAAAAAAAAAAAAAAAAAAAAAAAAAGUCUCAAGUUUCACCAAGGCCAUUUCAGUAAAACGGUAAUAAUGUGAAGUAUUAUUACAAUUUAAAAUGUAACUUAUUCCUGUGAUGCAAAGCUGAUUUUUCAGCAUCAUUACUCCAGUCUUCAGUGUCACAUGAUCCUUCAGAAAUCAUUCUAAUAUGCUGAUUUGAUGCUCAAAAACAAAAAAAUUCUUAUUAUUAUCAAUGUUGAAAACAGAUGUGUGGCUUAAUUUUUUUUUGUGGAGAUCAUAGUGCAUUUUUUAGGACUCUUAGAUGAAUAGAAAGUUCAAAAAGAGCAGCAUUUAUUUGAAAUAGAAGUCUUUUGUAAAUAAAAUGUCUCUGCUGUUACUUUUGAUAAUUAAUGUGUAUUUGCUGAAUAAAAAAAAACUUUUGAACAGUAAUGUAUCAAUUUAGAUGUGGGUGAAAAUUAUUGAAAAAUGGCAUUGUACUUACUCUUUACCCUCUUCAUCAAUGUCAUCCACUUCAUACCUGAUAAAAGAUAACAUUAUGAUGUUACAUUAUCAUUUCACACAAUCAUGUUUUAAAGCUACAGGUGAAUAUAAAUAAACAGAUCAACUGGAGAUCAA
Long non-coding RNA from Megalobrama amblycephala (Wuchang bream), 1420 nucleotides. RefSeq lists it as uncharacterized. The record is from RefSeq and is a predicted model, not a curated record. The transcript has 2 exons. NCBI's taxonomy places the organism in Eukaryota, Metazoa, Chordata, Actinopteri, Cypriniformes, Xenocyprididae.